Molecule: RNA transcript, 1338 nt
Organism: Caenorhabditis elegans
Lineage: Eukaryota; Metazoa; Nematoda; Chromadorea; Rhabditida; Rhabditidae
Gene: nhr-184
Gene name: Non-coding transcript of protein-coding gene nhr-184
Exons: 5
Source: RefSeq, marked reviewed
AUGCCAGCAGCCCUUCUCAUCUCAGGACCGUGUAAAAUUUGUGAUCUACCAGCUCACGGAAACCAUUUCGGUGUGCUCAGUUGCCGAGCUUGCGCCGCAUUUUUCAGAAGAGCUUCUCGAAGUCCUCGGUUUCAAGAUAAAGCCUGUGAAUAUGGGGAUUGCCGGAUUUUUGAUGCUGGAGCAUAUCGCUGUAAAAUUUGCCGACUGAAAAAGUGCUACAAAGUCGGAAUGGACGCAAGUAAAUUUCAAAAGGACCGUGACCUUAUUUCAAGCUCCAAUGCAUACCUUAAACGCACGAAAGUUUAUGCUCCACAAAGUUUGGCAAACUUUCUCGGGCGGCCCGAAUUCAUAAUAAGUUUCGAGCCCGAAAAGGCUUCUCCUUUCAAGACAGUGAUAGAUGUGACGGAUUUGGUUCACAAAGCUGCAGAAAUUUUCCAGGAGGUAAAGGUUAUUUUUUGGCACAAGCCGACACUUCACGGGCCAAUUGAUGUUUUUUUCGCAUCAAAUUUUGCCGUCCUGUAAUUUGUCGGUUGCUCGCUAUUGUGCAAUUUUAAGGACCUAGCCAACUCACCAAUGCCCUACAAAUACAGCAAUAGCCUGGAAAAGCUCACAUUGGAAAUGGAAGACUUGCGGUUAAGAAGCUCAAAUCAUAAAGUAAAAAUUGUGCGGAAUAUUGGGAAAGCUGAAUCGCUUGUCUUUUUCGAGCAAAUGUUCUUGGCGACCGCGAACUGGUACGCAAGACUUCCAGAUUUUACAAGUCUGGAUCUUCGUGUUAAGCUGGAAAUACUAAAAUCCACGUGGAUGCUUUGGAUUCGACUGAACAAGCUAGCUGAAACAGCACAAAAUCAAAGAAUUAAAGAAAUGGGUGCAAACAUUUUUAUGUGCUCAGAAAACACUUGUCUGAAUGUGCAGGAUAUCAAUGUUGACUGGAGCUGGUGUACCAAUUACGGUGCAGAGCAAAUGCAAGCAUUCCUAAUGCCAAAUAUUGAUAAGCAUUGGAGACAGCCAGUGGAAGACCUCGUGAAGCUCAACCCAACAGAUAUGGAGCUCAACUUCAUGCUCAUUCAACUCUGCCUUAACGAUGCUGGCAAGAAAUUUCAAGGACGUGUCCUAGAGGCAACUGAUAAGCUCUUGCAAAUCAAUGCAGAUAAUUUGCAUAAUUAUUAUACCAAAAAGUUGAACAUGCCAUCAUACUCUGGACGAUUGACAAAACUGAUGAAAAUCAACCAAAUUGUCGAGGAAGAUGUGAGGGAGAGAAAGGAAAAAGCGAAGAUUGUCGAAGUUUUUGACCUGUUUUCAAUUGUUUAUUCGCAUCCGGAAAUGUUUGAGGGCACUUGA